CUGAUAAUGAAGAUGGGGAUUCGAGUGAUGAUUCUAGUAACGAUUCGAGUGAUGAUUCUGUUGAAAUCAUAGAUGACAUUAAUUUUGUAAUAUAUUGUAAUGUGAUUUCUUCACUUUCUACGUUCAAAUAAAACACGACGUUAUUGUGAACCAGUUAUUCAGCAUAUUUACCGACGUCUUAAAGCAACGUAACAAUGAAGAACCACGACGCUAUUGUGAAGCAAUUAUUCAGGAUAUCACGUCGGGGAAGGAUGAAGAAC
Molecule: long non-coding RNA, 260 nt
Filed under: Prunus persica (peach)
Lineage: Eukaryota; Viridiplantae; Streptophyta; Magnoliopsida; Rosales; Rosaceae
Description: long non-coding RNA (PPER_LNC003488)
Source: RNAcentral